UCUAUGAUGUGUAGGGCCACCAUGGCAGUUGCAUCUUCAUGUUGGAAGCUUCUCCGAGUAACAAACCGAGCACACGGUCCGCCUGAAAUCCCACCAACGUCACCCUCAAUCGAACUUCUUCGUGGAGUAUAAGAGAGACAUCGGGGACCCUUCGACCCUCAUCCAUCUCGCCCAAGUGCCACGGAACCGUGAGUGGGGGAUAGGAUUUCCUGCGGUGGUGACCACGGACCGCCGACGUGAUUCUCUGCCAUCGAUGGGACUUGGAACGCAGGAUUGAGCCAUGUGUUCGCCGAGGCACCCCGUGUGUGUUGGUGGGCUUCUCGGGCAUGGACAUCAACCAGGAUCGAGGGAAUUCCUCACCGGCGUUCGAGACUCACCGUGGGUAGGAGUCCCUGGGUCGCCAUACCUGGUGAGAUUCUCCUCAUAUAGUUGUUGUAGUCUGCUUCGCGUAGCAUUGAAUAGUUGGGCCUUUUGGACUCUUGAGUGACUAAUGGCCGCUGGCCAGCGAGGGCGAUGCCGCCCUGGGCGCUCGUGCCACCAUGGUUCAUGUCCAGGGAAAGAAGGAGACCUAGGAAGUGUCGGAUCUGACGAAGGGUUGAGAUUUGAACAUGUGAAACACUUCGUUCAGUUAAACUGUGGUCGUGGAUCCUUGAUCUAAGGGCUAGUACGUCUUGCAAGUCUAGUGGAUCCUUAGUCGUCGAUUGGAGAUCCGAUGUUCAAGAUUUCAUACCGGUUUAAUGAGGUAAUGGUCUAAUCCAACCGAUGAUCCUUAAUUGUCGAUUGGAAAGCAGUAGACCGAAGAACCAACGGGCCACAUGUGAAGAUACCCCUUCGUGUGGCAUGUUUGCUAGAGAGUCCCCGUGUAUUUACAAAAUAAACCCACCUUCCAUUAGUCGAUUAAAAUUAAUGAAAAUAAAUCAGGAUUUUGCAGUUUAGCCCCUAGAAGUUAUUUUUAGGUAUAAAUUAAUACCAAAUAAUAUAGAACUUCUAUAAUCCAUAUCUUACACAUUUUAACUUUGAUUUGAUCCGUUCCAGUUGCGUUAGCUUUAUAAUAAAAUUGCCUAUACAGUACCAAUAUUGUUUUAUCAUAGAUAUUUGUUUUAACUAUGUUUAGGAGAUUUAUCUUUCUAAUUAAAAUUAAUCUGUCUAUAGUUAUAAACUGACUAAAAUAUAAUACAUAAGUUUGCUACAACCUAGACUGAAGUUGAAUUAUUUAUUUCAUUGUAAUAUGUUUCUCACAUGAUUUAUAACAUAGAAUAUGUUUUUAUCAUUUAAUCACCUAAAACUUUAGAAAACUAUAUCUUCUGAACCAUAACUCCGAUUUUAGUCGUUCUCGAACCUACGAUCUCAUAGCAGCACAUAGAAUAUUCUUACGCUGCUUAUUCAUAUGCUUUGGUGUAAUGUUAUCAUAUCCAUUAUUGUUUGAUUGUAUGUAUUGCUACGAGUAGAGGCGAGGUGACGAGAAAUCUGAAGACUAACUUGGUGAAGUACCUGGAAUCGCAAGUAUAAAGCAAGUUGUGCCCAUGAUCACUCUCCUUUACCUAAUAAUGUUCUUGUUAAUCACUGUGAUAUGCUCAGGUUAAUUUGAUGGGACCUAAUAGUUUACCCUAUUUUUGGUUCACCCUACACCUUGCAAACAAAUGAACUAUUGGGUAGACUUGCUAUUGCUCUACCUAGUUUUUGGGAUUAAUGUUAUAUCUAAAUUAUGAUCAUAUCCUAUUAUUACUGUUGGUUUAAUUAUUGCUCAUGAUAAGAUUAUUGUGAUAAUUGGAACAUGGAGAACCACCUAUGAAAACAUUGCUACCACAAGGGUGGAAUAGGACGCCCUUGGUCAAGCAAUUAGGAAAGCUAGGGAGAGAUCACAAGACGGGUAGGAAGCGGGGAGUGCGUCACUGCAAAGUAUAGGGAGGUCCUUGGGUUGGACUGUCUGUAAAGAUUUUCGGACGAGGGAUUCCUAUGCUUCCUACUUCCUGAAAGCGUAGCGGGUUUUCUGGAACUAGUGGAACUUUGGAAAGGCCUCGCAGUGGAUCCCUAGCCAUUCACCUUGGAAUUGUCUAAGUGUCUAGCUAAUCCAAGCUAAACGGGAAACACGUCUUGUGGGUAAAGAUGUGUAACCUCUAUGGAGUGUAAAACUGGUAUAUCAGUCGUGCUCACAGUCAUGAGUGGCUCGGACACUCACAUGAGUAACUUAUGAAAACUAACUUAAUAUGUCAUUUGUAUUGCAUUAUGGGAUUUAUUAUUAAUUGUGAUUUCUUAUUUAAUGGGGAUGGUAUCUACUUAUACUUAGUAACUGCUAAUAAAAUUUUUACCAACUUGUUAAAAGCAAUGCUCAGCCUUAACCAUCCUCUUUGGUAAGCCUUACACUUCACAUGAGCCCUCGCCAUAAGUGAGCUCAUGCACAUUAUUCCCCACAACUUGUUGAGCGAUGAAUAUAUGUGAGCUCACUCUUGCUGUACUCACCCCCAGGUCAAGAACAAGUACCGCCAGAUGAGGAGCAGCAAGGAUGUCGCGAUGAGUUCAUGAGAGGUCUAGGUCGUCGUCUCCUAGUCAACAAUGGAUGUGGUGGAUCGUUGUCUUCUUAUGAUGUAAUAACUUAGCUAUUUUCUCUUCUAAAGACAAAAGAGGAUUUCACACCUUGGAUCAUGUACCUAAAGUGACCCUUAGGAAUAGUACCCCUAAUCCUAGGAAUAAAAAAUUAUCAUUUUUGUAUGUAUCUAUGCGCCUGAAUGCCUGUUCUUAUGAACCUUGUUUGAUUUGGUUCUUUGAUU
RNAcentral lists this long non-coding RNA (2768 nucleotides) under Zea mays. RNAcentral's name for it is "long non-coding RNA (ZMAY_LNC000858)". Lineage: Eukaryota; Viridiplantae; Streptophyta; Magnoliopsida; Poales; Poaceae. The record is from RNAcentral.